GCUUGUCUCAAAGAUUAAGCCAUGCAUGUCUAAGUAUAAGCAAACUUGUACUGUGAAACUGCGAAUGGCUCAUUAAAUCAGUUAUCGUUUAUUUGAUGAUCUCUUACUACUUGGAUAACCGUAGUAAUUCUAGAGCUAAUACAUGCACAAAGGCCCGACUCACGAAGGGCUGUAUUUAUUAGAUUUAAAGCCGACAUCUUUUGGUGAUUCAUAAUAACUUUUCGAACCUCAUGCCUUUAUGGUGGAGGUGAUUCAUUCAAAUUUCUGCCCUAUCAACUUUCGAUGGUAGGAUAGAGGCCUA
RNAcentral lists this ribosomal RNA (301 nucleotides) under uncultured fungus. RNAcentral's name for it is "partial small subunit ribosomal RNA". It matches the Rfam family "Eukaryotic small subunit ribosomal RNA", at positions 30 to 343 of the family's 1831-position model. Lineage: Eukaryota; Fungi. The record is from RNAcentral.